Molecule: ribosomal RNA, 248 nt
Filed under: uncultured Stenotrophomonas sp.
Lineage: Bacteria; Pseudomonadati; Pseudomonadota; Gammaproteobacteria; Lysobacterales; Lysobacteraceae
Description: partial 16S ribosomal RNA
Rfam family: Bacterial small subunit ribosomal RNA
Source: RNAcentral
GGGUGCAAGCGUUACUCGGAAUUACUGGGCGUAAAGCGUGCGUAGGUGGUCGUUUAAGUCCGUUGUGAAGCCCUGGGCUCAACCUGGGGAACUGCAGUGGAUACUGGGCGACUAGAGUGUGGUAGAGGGUAGCGGAAUUCCUGGUGUAGCAGUGAAAUGCGUAGAGAUCAGGAGGAACAUCCAUGGCGAAGGCAGCUACCUGGACCAACACUGACACUGAGGCACGAAAGCGUGGGGAGCAAACAGGA